AGUGCGCAUGCGUCUUCCCCGGGAGCCCACAGGGGUCUGAGGUUGACACCGGAGGCGCGAGGAGUGGGGACGGGUCGCGGCUGUCCCAGCUCCUGGAGGCGCAGGGUAGGGGUGGGGUCCCAUAGAUGUCAGACUCGGUCUGCAAGUAUCGUCGGCCUUCAUUUGUAGGUGAACAAGCCGAGAUUAUUGCGGCGUGGUAGGACUUGUGGUCGCCACGAAGGGGCCAGCUCCAUCCGGAAUCUGUAAUCCUCCAGCAGUUUCCCCGCCCCGCGCAUGUGAAAUAUGUAGCCCUCCGUAUUCAUUCUAGAAACUUCUGGGAACCCAGCGCCUUGGGGAGAUAGAACCGAGCCAGAUGUUCCCCCGCUGCGAGGAACUCAGAACCUGCAUAAAUAGAGAAGGUGGCAUAUAGUAGGGAGACCAGUAAUUCCAUUGAGCGCUGAUUUUGGGCCAGGCACGAUACAAGCAUUAUCUCUGCAAAACAUCUUAUUCAUUCGUUCAGCAAACGUUUCUUGAACUCUCAGAAGGAUGAAGGAAGUUUACCCAGCUAGUAAGUGGAAGAACUGGUAUUGGAACCCGAUCUGUCUGACUGCAGAGUUCCACAAUCUUGCUGCCAAAUUAUGUGGAGAUAACAAUGACUAUUUUAUGUCAUCUAUUCAUUCUUCCAGCCUAUCAGCCUCCUGUGUCUUAAGCAGAGUGGAGACGGGGGUGGAUCCAGGCACACCAGUUCCACGCCACAGGCUUCUGCAGUUCCUGCAAACUGUUCCCAUCCCGCCCCGCGUUGCACGUCGGGAUUUGGAGUUCGCGAUGCUGAGCGUUGUUUCCACGUGGCGAUUCCGACUUGACCCGUCGUGCUCUGGCGCCCGCCUAGGGGGACCUAGGAGUCUGUCAUUUCUUGCCUUGUUAGGGUGCGGAACGAAAACCAUUUGAUUUAUCCUAGAAAAGGAAAGGCUGAAGGCAACUAAGUAAAAGUUUUCCAUUAAAUGAAUGCAAGUUGUAGAAAAGGAAUGUUCAGCUGCCCUACAAAUCCGGAGGUAGAAAUCGGGGAGGGGGGAAGGAAUUAAAUAGGACAUAAACACACACACACACUCUUGCGGGGGUGUUUGGGUAUGGAAAGUAGGUCCGAUUGCAGAAUUUAUUUUAAAUGAUUCCCGCAACCUUGGGAAGUUGGGAAGUGGUGAAUCCGCUGCCAAAAGGUAUUUGUGCUUAUGGUAAAUCCAGGUCUUAAAAUUCUGUAGACUGGUAGCUAUAUGGAUAUGAUUUUAAUAGACGAGUUUCAGGAAGACUCUCAAACUGUUUAUUUUUGUUGUUGUUUAAAAACUUACUUGAAAUAUAUUGGAAACCACAUAUACAUAAUAUCUCACACACACUACAUAAAGAAGUAAAAAUUCCUUUCCCCAUUUCUUUCAUCCUAUCCAAUUUGUAGAGUCAUAACCAUUCUUAAUAAUUUGAUGGGUAUUCAUUUCUUCCCUAAAUUUAUAUAUCUAGAACUAGAGCUAGAGUGUAUGCCUACACACACACACACACACACACACACACACCCAUACAUAUAUAUUCAAGCAUAAUAUAUGUAUAUCCACAUGUAUUCAAACACAGAAUUAUGUUUAGAUAAUUACGGUUAUAUGCUGGUAUGCCAGAGCCAGACUGCCUGGCUUCGGUUCCAGGCCCUAGAUGGAUAGCUUUGGGCUACUCAGCCUCUCUAUGCCUGGACUUCUUCAUCUUUGAAACGGGAUAAUAAUAAUACUUAUCCCAUAAAGUUCUUGUGAGAAUUAAAUGAAAUAAUAUAUGAAAAGCCCUUAGAACAGGCAUUGACACAUUGUGAAGGUAAUGUAUUAGCUAUUUUGAUGAUUAUGCAUUUUGUCUGCAACUUGAUUUUUAUUUAACAUUUGAGGGAAUGUAGACAAACAUAGCCAUUUUCAAUGAUUCCGUAAUAUUCCAUAGCAUGAGUAUACCAUUGUUUAUCCAACCAUUUCUCUCUUGAGAAACAUUGCAGAUUUUUUUGCAGUUUCUACGAUUACAAAUAAUGCUGCAAUAAACAUCUUUCUACAUAUA
Symphalangus syndactylus (siamang) is the source of this 2049-nucleotide long non-coding RNA. RefSeq lists it as uncharacterized. Lineage: Eukaryota; Metazoa; Chordata; Mammalia; Primates; Hylobatidae. The record is from RefSeq and is a predicted model, not a curated record.